CAGCCUGAUGCAGCAACGCCGCGUGAGGGACGACGGCCUUCGGGUUGUAAACCUCUUUUAGCAGGGAAGAAGCGAAAGUGACGGUACCUGCAGAAAAAGCACCGGCUAACUACGUGCCAGCAGCCGCGGUAAUACGUAGGGUGCAAGCGUUAUCCGGAAUUAUUGGGCGUAAAGAGCUCGUAGGCGGUUUGUCGCGUCUGCUGUGAAACCCCGAGGCUCAACCUCGGGCCUGCAGUGGGUACGGGCAGACUAGAGUGCGGUAGGGGAGAUUGGAAUUCCUGGUGUAGCGGUGGAAUGCGCAGAUAUCAGGAGGAACACCGAUGGCGAAGGCAGAUCUCUGGGCCGUAACUGACGCUGAGGAGCGAAAGGGUGGGGAGCAAACAGGCUUAGAUACCCUGGUAGUCCACCCCGUAAACGUUGGGAACUAGUUGUGGGGUCCAUUCCACGGAUUCCGUGACGCAGCUAACGCAUUAAGUUCCCCGCCUGGGGAGUACGGCCGCAAGGCUAAAACUCAAAGGAAUUGACGGGGACCCGCACAAGCGGCGGAGCAUGCGGAUUAAUUCGAUGCAACGCGAAGAACCUUACCAAGGCUUGACAUAUACGAGAACGGGCUAGAAAUAGUCAACUCUUUGGACACUC
RNAcentral lists this ribosomal RNA (639 nucleotides) under Microbacterium sp. So3Pw_1424. Its description in RNAcentral is "bacterial SSU rRNA". It matches the Rfam family "Bacterial small subunit ribosomal RNA", at positions 379 to 1029 of the family's 1533-position model. Lineage: Bacteria; Bacillati; Actinomycetota; Actinomycetes; Micrococcales; Microbacteriaceae. The record is from RNAcentral.